GAUCAGAUUGUCCAACUCAGAAUUGAUAUGGUGUCCUAUAAGGCCUAACUAAGCCUACCUCGAUCGAGUUAAGAAGCAUAAUGAAAAGAUCAGAAGAACUCCAAGGUUACAUAUCACCUGAAGUAAAGUCUUGCAGCUCGAGUAGACAUCUUUUCAGCUUAACAGUCAUCCAAAGCCGACUAGAACCCUGUCAACUCGAACAAUGUCUAGAGAUGGGAGAAAAAGCUAGCACCCAUUCACUCGGACGGUUAUAGCACGUUCCGCUAUAGUAAUUGCACGAUCUUAGGUUGUUACAGCAUGAUCUCAAGCGGUUACACCAGUCGGAUCUCAUGCAACUACAACAGAAUCUUAGGCAGUUAUAGCAUGACCCUAGGCUGUUAGAGUGUAAUCUUCAGAGAUUCUAUAUCCCUCAGCUAUAAAUAAACUAAACACCCCCAUCAAAAGUAAUCAGUAAAUCGUACUUAGAACGAUACUCUAUCUUUUUUAUUCCUCCUUCAUUC
Molecule: long non-coding RNA, 500 nt
Filed under: Phoenix dactylifera (date palm)
Lineage: Eukaryota; Viridiplantae; Streptophyta; Magnoliopsida; Arecales; Arecaceae
Description: long non-coding RNA (PDAC_LNC008024)
Source: RNAcentral